This is an RNA transcript of Lates calcarifer (barramundi perch), 1880 nucleotides long. It is a transcript of the gene named RNA polymerase II subunit M, with no coding region annotated. Lineage: Eukaryota; Metazoa; Chordata; Actinopteri; Centropomidae. The record is from RefSeq and is a predicted model, not a curated record. The transcript has 5 exons.
CUCGCGUUUGAUUUCCGCUCAAGAAGAAGAGGAACUCCCUACUUUGAAAUAUCUCAUGUUGAAGAAGUGAGCAUGUCGCCCUUAGAGGUUUCUAAAAAUCUCUAGCCAUUAAAGAGUUAGUUAACUGUUUUGAGCCUGUUAACGUGUACACGGAGCUUUUAUGUUGUGUUUAAAACUGAGAAGUUAGCCUCUACUGUUUGUGAAUGGCUGUAGCUAGCUGUUAGUAGCUAACAGUGAUGUCCUCGUCGUGGACAGAGCGUCAGGGACAGGUGGGAGACCUGAGAAACCAGAGCAAAGAAGAGCUCCAAGAACUGCUGCUCCGACAGGAAAAGAUACUCUCUAACAGGAGGUUGUUGCAGACUCUUCCUGACAAAGGGAAAAAGAUAUCAGAAUUUGCAGAGAAAGUGCGGCUUGCCAUUGAACACCAUGAUGAAGAGGAGAGGAGACAGAGCUUGGUGUCUGCUGCCAGGACAGAGUUUCAGUCCAAGUACCGGCAGGCUUUCACUAUGCAAAAACGUGCUAUUCCCAACACACCGUCAGCCUCACAUCAAAACAGACAGAGUGAGGCUGCGGCGGGUGACGUGGUACAUGAGAGGGAGACCUCACCUGUCUCAGCUCACGUGCAAGAAAGCGCUACUUUGGACAAGGACGAGGCUGCUGGUGAAACCAUGGAGACAGCUGCUGCUGGGCCCUUUCUGAACUCUGAUGAGACAAAAGAGGGUGACCUUGUGAAGGCCUUGGAAAGGGUCAAACUGUCUGAAACUAGUACUGGUAUCAGUAGCAAGUCCAAAGACCCAUUAAACAGCACAGCAAGAGACAAUUACUUUCUCAGAAAGCAGACACCAAAAAAGCCUCACUAUGUAACUGUCCUGGAAGAAUCAGAGAAGACCUCAGCUCCCAGGAAGCAGAAAUUUAAACCAAACCAGCUGCCCCACAGAGGUGACAUUUCUCCAUCAGGAUCCUCGUCACCCAGCCAGUCCUCUGAGGGCCCAUUGGCGCUCUCUGCACAGGCCAGGAGGGAGAGGGACAGAAAACACCUGGAUGACAUCACCUCAGCCAAACUCCCUCCUCUCCACCACAGCCCAGCCCAGCUUCUGUGCCUGGAAGAGUCAGCCAUCCUCCUGAGGGAACAAACCAAGAAGCAGCAGGAGUUGCAGGCCAAGCUGGCAGCCCAGAAAUUGUCUGAGGGAUUGAAGAUCUCUAUAGGGAGCUACUCUCCUGAUGGUGGCCCCAUGGCUGCCUACAGAGAGGUUCAUGAUGAAGGAGCCCAGCUCUCCUCAGAGGAAGACUGAUCCAAGAGGGCCAGAGCAGGGGAAACCAGUGUGACCUUGGAUCUGACAGAAACAGCCUUUGGAUCUUGCAAUCAGGACCCAUCAAACAAGAUUUUCAGUCCAAGGACAGGAAUUCAUAAGAAUAAGAAUUCAUGGUGUGAAGGCAUAGUUGGUAUCCCAGACUCAGGAAAUUGAAUGGCAGGUUGAGAAAGUGGCUUACGUAAUUGUCAUUCUGUUCAUAUUGGCAUCAGUAUUUCACUGCCCUGCAGGAAUAAUCAUAUGUGUGGUUAACCAGAACUCUUGGAUGCUAAAUUUGAAGCAUGCAGUCUUUAUGACUGUAUUAGGAAAAUGUCUCUUCUCAGUACGAUGAAACUAAUGAUGUUGUGGCUUUCUGAGCCUGAGAGUAUUUUACAUUGAAAUUUAUAUUUUAGUGUGUUAAUAAUUACAUGCACUUCAGACUCAUCAACAGGUGGAGCAGACUGUUUUGGCACAAUGGUGACUGUUUACAGCUUUGUCUAGAAAAUAGACAUGAGCCUUCACAUAAUUGUGUCAGGUUAAAUUAUUACAGAAUAUAUAACAGAACUGAAUAAAUACACCUGAUUCCCCAAA